Molecule: ribosomal RNA, 497 nt
Filed under: uncultured bacterium
Lineage: Bacteria
Description: partial 16S ribosomal RNA
Rfam family: Bacterial small subunit ribosomal RNA
Source: RNAcentral
GAUGAACGCUGGCGGCGUGCCUAAUACAUGCAAGUCGAGCGAACGGACGAGAAGCUUGCUUUUCUGAUGUUAGCGGCGGACGGGUGAGUAACACGUGGAUAACCUACCUAUAAGACUGGGAUAACUUCGGGAAACCGGAGCUAAUACCGGAUAAUAUUUUGAACCGCAUGGUUCAAAAGUGAAAGACGGUCUUGCUGUCACUUAUAGAUGGAUCCGCGCUGCAUUAGCUAGUUGGUAAGGUAACGGCUUACCAAGGCAACGAUGCAUAGCCGACCUGAGAGGGUGAUCGGCCACACUGGAACUGAGACACGGUCCAGACUCCUACGGGAGGCAGCAGAAGGGAAUCUUCCGCAAUGGGCGAAAGCCUGACGGAGCAACGCCGCGUGAGUGAUGAAGGUCUUCGGAUCGUAAAACUCUGUUAUUAGGGAAGAACAUAUGUGUAAGUAACUGUGCACAUCCUGACGGUACCUAAUCAGAAAGCCACGGCUAACUACGUG